AAAAACUUAGUUUAUAAUAAAAUAAUUGUUUGUCUUUCAAUAGAUGUGGGGUUUUUAUUCCACAGUUUUUA
Molecule: transfer RNA, 71 nt
Filed under: Obrimoposthia wandeli
Lineage: Eukaryota; Metazoa; Platyhelminthes; Tricladida; Uteriporidae
Description: tRNA-Asp
Source: RNAcentral